This 480-nucleotide ribosomal RNA is filed under the name uncultured bacterium. RNAcentral's name for it is "partial 16S ribosomal RNA". It matches the Rfam family "Bacterial small subunit ribosomal RNA", at positions 28 to 507 of the family's 1533-position model. The record is from RNAcentral.
GACGAACGCUGGCGGCGUGCUUAACACAUGCAAGUCGAACGAUGAAGAAAAGAAUCGAAGCUUCGGCAGAAAUUCAUUUCGGAUUAGUGGCAGACGGGUGAGUAACGCGUGAGCAACCUACCUCUUACAAAGGGAUAGCCUCGGGAAACCGGGAUUAAUACCAUAUAACAUUGCGACGAAGCAUUUCGAUGCAAUCAAAGCUACGGCGGUAAGAGAUGGGCUCGCGUCCCAUUAACCGGAUGGUGAGGUAACGGCUCACCAUAGUGACGAUGGGUAACCGGCGUGAGAGGGUGAACGGUCACACUGGAACUGAGACACGGUCCAGACUCCUACGGGAGGCAGCAGUGGGGAAUAUUGCACAAUGGAGGGAACUCUGAUGCAGCGACGCCGCGUGAGUGAUGAAGGAAUUCGUUUCGUAAAACUCUGUUCUAUGGGAAGAAAAGGACUGUACCAUAGGAGAAAGCUCCGGCUAAAUACGUG